RNAcentral lists this ribosomal RNA (254 nucleotides) under uncultured bacterium. RNAcentral's name for it is "partial 16S ribosomal RNA". It matches the Rfam family "Bacterial small subunit ribosomal RNA", at positions 524 to 777 of the family's 1533-position model. The record is from RNAcentral.
UACGGAGGGUGCAAGCGUUAAUCGGAAUUACUGGGCGUAAAGCGCACGUAGGUGGUUUGUUAAGCUAGCUGUGAAAUCCCCGGGCUCAACCUGGGCACUGCAGUUAGAACUGGCAAGCUAGAGUAGGGUAGAGGGGUGUGGAAUUCCAGGUGUAGCGGUGAAAUGCGUAGAUAUCUGGAGGAACAUCAGUGGCGAAGGCGACACCCUGGACUCAUACUGACACUGAGGUGCGAAAGCGUGGGGAGCAAACAGGG